UGUCAUUUCUUUGGUCUUGCUGUGGACUCACCACGCAAGUGCCUUCUGCUAUCCGGAGAGCAGAAUAAACUCUUUCUUUGAACCAACUCGGUGUCAUUUUGACUUCCUUCCUCCUGUCACGGAGCAACGCAGACCCAAUCGGUGAACUCCAAUAAGGCUACAGUAGGACCCACUAUUGCUCUCAUCUGCUCAACCCGCCAGAGCCUAUCUUCACAUGCAGGGAAGUCCCUAACUCACCAAAGGUUUGAGACCGAUUGGCUACCCUCCCCUGGUUCAGCUGAACAAUGAAAGCCUGAUACUCUGAACUGUCAAGCUGUGCGUGCCUGUAAGCUCCCAACUCUGAUCUGUGAAGAAGGAGGGGUAGGGAAACACUACCCACUGCCUUGAGGGACGUCUUCAGGAGAAGAAAAGGCUGAAUAGUAAACCCUACACAAAUCCAGAGUGGAGUCCUUAAGAUGGUUGGAUGGCACCUUGUACGCCUCCUUCCGACAACUCCUGUAGCCAAACAUAUUGCUCUGCUUUCCUUUGGACCACAUCAGUGAGGCCAAAAGGAGAGUUCUUGUCAUCUGGGCAGCCCAGGACCUCUACCUCCACCCACCCCCCAGAGGUGCUCCGUCUCUUGAGACAGAUGGAUGCCAAGAAAAAGGGGAACCUUGUUUACUUACAUUGCAGCACGACAGAGGCAAGCAUGUUAAUGAUGAACAAUGAAUAGUCUACCACUAGUUCUUUGGAAAAUAGUAGACUGGCUUGCUGGUUUCCCUCCAUCUUGGUAUAGAGUCUCAGUAAGUAAAUGCUCUUAGCUGGCCACUUGCCUUGAUUGCUGGCCAGUAGUUCCUGCUGACAGUUAUGCCACUGUGCAAAGAUUGGGCCCAAAAUAAGCAACUGUAGCCUAUUCUAAAAUUCAAUCCUCCCUUCUGUUUGCACUGGAUUUUUGUGGGUAUUUGCUGACAGAUGUUCCAGCUGAUUUAUGGUAUUAUUAUACUAGUGAUAUAACACAGUGGGGUGCACUGUGGUUGUCUGCGUGAUUGAUGCAGCAGAUAAACAUAAAGUGUUUGAUUACAGAAAGUAUUUUGAUUUCAGAGAAAUUUGAGAAGCAAGAAAUUACUUAGAAAAAACUGAAAGACUAUACCUAACUAAAAGCACAACAAUGUAUUGUUUCAAUGCAUUUCUUCCACUAAAUUGGUGUUGAAUUGGCAAUAGCUUUUCUGCCUAUUUGAAGGGGUGUGUGUAUUUAUACAUGUGUGUGUGUGUGUGUUUUGGCAUCCAUCUGUCUCAAGAGACAAUGGAGUGCACCUCUGGGGGUAAAGCCAAACUGCUGUGUUAGCAGCCCCAGAGUGACCUUCCAUGGUGUGCAAGUGUGGGCCGUGUGUAUGGGGGUCCUGGGCUGCCCAGAUGAUAAGUCCCCUCUCGGCCUUGCUGAUGUGGUCCAAAGAAAAUCAAAGAAAUCAGAGAAAUACCUUGUGCACCAGCUGGGCGGCAGGUGUUGCCAGAAGGGGGCAUACCUGGCGCCAUCUAACCCUCUAAGGGACUCCACUCUCGAUUUACGUAGGGUUUAUUUCUUAGCCAUUUAUUCUCCCAACGAUAUUCCACAAGGUAGCAGAGGCUUAGGAUCAGAAUUUUCCUUCUCCUGGAUUGGCCACCUUCCCAAGUUGAUGAGCCCAUCUGCCCCUCACUUCCCUCUACAGCACAUGCAGAAACCACCUUCUUAACUGUGGGAACCACUGUUGGUCUCAUAUGCUCAAUCCACCAAAAUAUGCCUUCACGUAUAUUUAUAUGGAUAUGUGGCAGACCGUAUUAGAUAAGUAUGUAUUUUACAAAGGAAGAGAGAAACUAUUUAGAAUCUACAUGAUCAGUGAAAAAUGUCUCAAGGGGGUUUAAGAUGUCCGUGAAAUAUUGAUAAUAUGAGAAGCGUAGAACAGGUUUAAAAGCUUUGAAAGCAACCUUUGCAUUGUCCUUGCAUUAAGAAACCUGGAUUUGUGUCCCCCAGGGCACCCAUGAGAGCAUCGACUAAAAAAGGGAAUCACAACAGUUCUUACUGCCCAUCAACAGAAGCAUAAAAGUUUUUAUUGUUAUGAAAGCUGGAGACCCUUCUUUUAAUCUCUGUGGGAUGGUUUUCAGAAAGUCAGAGACCACUUUGACCACUUUGUUUGUGUAUGCCAAUCAAAUUAUGAAGGCUUAGAAGAAUAACAGUAACAAAACAAAACAAAACAAAACAAAGGAAGGCUAGAUUUGUCUGCUUUGGGGGACCUUUCCUCCAGAUUUAGAGAAAAGGGGUGAACUGCCAGGCAUGGAAAGAAGAUGAGUGACGCUGCAAUUUAGUUAUUAAUUCACAACAAACAAUUUAAAGAAAAGUUAAUAUACUGCAUGCUCUUAUAAGGAAUGCUUUUUUAUCUGAAUAAGCAUGUGUGAGCCAGACAUUAGUAACCACAUAUAACAGGAGUAUACAAAAUAUUUUAAUAAUUAAAUAAUCCUUGGGGCUUCUUGAAAGGUUUUCUGAAACUUUAACUUCCCUGAAACUCAGCUGUCAUCAGUCUCCUCUUAUGAUGUAUUUGAUGUCUUCUGGGGUGUUUUCUAAUAAAGAGACCACAAAAGUGAGUCUCAUGGUGAAUGUUCAAGCUAUAACACUUCCCCAAAUUCUCUGGAAUGCACAGAGAUUUCAGGCCAUUGCUCCAGCAGGGGAUAGGGCAUAGAAGGAAGACACUUCAUCCAUGCCUUAAGAACCAAGGGCCUGUGCUUUGGUCUCCAUAAAGUGUGUGUGUGUGUGUGUGUGUGUGUGUGUGAGAGAGAGAGAGAGAGAGAGAGAGAGAGAGAAUUUGAUUGGCAUACACACACACACACACACACACACACACACACUGGCCCCAGGGACAGGGAACACUGUAUGAAGGGCAUUUUGUGCAGAAAUACAAAUCAGACAGGCAGAAACAUGGCAUAAAACAGUUGCCUAAGGAAGCUAAAAGUGCUGAGAGCUGUAAGGAGACCCUUAUCCUCACAGACCUAUAAUUCUCAGUUUUCUGGAAAGAGGGAUUCAGGAGGGGUAAGAGGAGUUACGCCUGUGAAUUUCCUUAAAAAUAACUCAAAAACUUCAUUUUUUUUGAGAUUUUGGCUUUUAAUGAAAGGGCUGGUGCCAUGCUGUUAUUAUUGUAAUUAUUUGUAUGACUUUAAAUAUACAGUAUUUCAUACAGGUAUACAGUUUUAAUUGUUUUCUAUGAUUGUUUUUUUUGAUAUUUUUAGCAGUUCUUAUUUUUAACUGUAACCCACAUUCAGUCUCAUCAGGGAAAAGGGUGGGGUUAAUAAUAAUAAUAAUAAUAGUCGUCUCCUAACAACUCUCAGCACCCUUAACAAACUAAAGUUCCCAGGGGUCUUUGAGGAAAGCCAUGACUGUUUAAAAUGGUAUGUAUAGUACAGGUUGUGCAUAUGAUGAUAACUUUUAAACUUGAGUUGCCUUGGUUACACUACCUGAUUUUGGCUGGUGCGUGAGCUUUGGUUGCUGGUGUUGGAAUUUUGCCUCCUCCAGACUGUGUUAUCUCCGGCUCCUACAGAUGAAGAGCCAGUACUCCUUUGGACCUGGAGGACUGUUGAGGGUUGACCCUGGACAAACCGUGACUGGUGCCUACUGUGGAAGCACAACGUACAUCCUGCACCAAUCUGUGUCUUUUUCCCACCAGCACCAGUAGCAGCUAAGAACAUGGAGUUCUUUCACACCUGUACCUUCUUAUAGUGGCCACAUAUCUUUUGUUUUUAUAGGUCCCUGGACAAACCUAGACAGCUUUAGAGAGAAAUCUAUUAUUGCUUUAAGGUUUACAAACUUGUUAUGCAUCAUUCUUCUUCAAUUCAUUUAACACUUGCCGACAAUUUUUUAUUAUUUUAUUUUCUGCUAGAGUUAUUUUUAAUUCAUUUCUGCUUGUGGGGAAUACGUUGAUGCUAUAUGUAUGGUUGCAAGAUUAAUUUCAUUUUAACUUCCUCAUUCUGAUUGUUAGCAAUUCAUUAUGGCAAAUUCUACUUAGAAUUGGGAAGGUCCUAUAAGUGGUUUCAGUCGGAAUAUUUUGUUUUCCGGUUGGAAGAUGUCAAGUUUAGAGAUAAUUUUAUGCAAAGGUUAGAACAUUCUGUUCUUGAAUACAUAAAGCAGGGCUG
This 4134-nucleotide long non-coding RNA is filed under the name Podarcis lilfordi (Lilford's wall lizard). The record is from RNAcentral. Lineage: Eukaryota; Metazoa; Chordata; Lepidosauria; Squamata; Lacertidae.